CUGAGGCGGAGCGGGGCUGAGGCGGGGCCGGGCCGGGCCUGAGCGGGGUCGGGACGGACGGAACUCACAAAAAAGCCCCACGAGCCUCAGGGGUGUAGCCGGGGCUCGUUGGCCUCUUUCCGGCGUCCGGGGACUGGCCGAGCUGUACGUGGGACGGAGCCCGGCUGCCUCAGCCCGGAGCGCGGCCGGACGGGCUCCAAGGUGAAUAACGGGAGGUGCGAGGGGCCGGAGCAGCGUCCUGGCCCCAGUGAAUGUGCUGGGCUGUCAAAAACCCCAUCAGUACACGCUAUUAAUUUAUAAAUAGUAGAUUUAAUUAGCGCGCUGGAGGCCUGGCAGGCUCUGGUGUGUCCCGGCUGGAAGAUUCUGUAGUUGGGGUUCAUAGUUCAAGUGGCAAACAAGGGAAGUUACUUGAGUAAUGCAUAAAAAAUAGAGGAUAAAUCGGAAUGCCACGUGUACCCAGCACCUGGUUCUCCCUGCUAACAAGCAGCCGCAGUGGGAUCAGGUGUGUCUGGUCCUAAAUUAGUCCCAGCAGGUGGGGUAGAAACUCGGCUCUGGGUAAGAAAUUACUUCAGCGUGCGCCUGUUAAUAAUAAGCGGCUGUGUUAAAAAACAAGGUGUUAUUUUGGGGUCCUGUUUGCUACUGUCCAUCAGCCCUAAAAAGCCCUCACCAUCCAACUUUUUUUACAGUAAUGUUACUGGUUUUCAUUACUCUUGUACAGUAAUGUUACUGUUUUUCAUUCCUCUUGUUACAGUAAUGAAAGACUUGGGGUUCAUUACAGGAGGUGCAUGUGCUAAUGAGCAGGCCAGUUAAUGGGGCAGGCAGGGAGCUGUGCCUGCUGCUCCCCAGAGAGCUCCGGAGAAGGAACCCCAGGGAUGGAGUGUCGGGAUCAGGGGCAGGAACAAAAAAGAAUCCACAGGAAGUCAAGUGAGGAGAAAUUCCUUCUUUCAGGAAGAAAUGCGUGUGUGAGAUUUGUGGGUGUAAUUUGGGUAGCUGUGGAAUUCCUACAAGUUUUGUUAGAAUUCCUAAGCUUGGUCAGCAUGGCUGAGCAGGUCCCCUCUUGUUUGUGUUACCAGAUGCCAGUGGAGCUUCCCAAAUGGAAUCCCAGAAUGGCUGGGGUUGGAAGGGACCUUAAAUCCCAUCCCAUCCCACCCCUGCCAUGGCAGGGACACCUCCCACUAUCCCAGGGUGUCCCAGUGUCCAGCCUAGCCUUGGCACUGCCAGGGAUCCAGGGGCAGCCCCAGCUGCUCUGGGAAUUCCAGCCCAGCCAGGAAUUCCCAACAUCCCAUCUAAAUUUCUCCUCUGGCAGAAAUACUCUAUUGUUUUGGGUUAUUUUUAUAAAUGGCAUUUCUUGAAUAAUUUUUAAGCUUGUUUGCUGUUUGUUCCACAAAGGAAGAGAAUCAGGUCUGUUAUCCAGUGAAGACUCAUUCAGACCAAGUAGGAAAGGCUGUUGAGGAUAAAAGAGUUAAUUUGCUUUUUGUUGAGUGUGGGUGGUUGUGGGGCAGAGCAGCUGCACCUGGAGACAAUAAAUGCAAAUUUAGCUCAAGGCA
Serinus canaria (Common canary) is the source of this 1547-nucleotide long non-coding RNA. Lineage: Eukaryota; Metazoa; Chordata; Aves; Passeriformes; Fringillidae. The record is from Ensembl.